CGAGGCUUCUGAUGCGAAGAUCACCCGUGCGUUACGGAAUCACAAGUGGCAAAAGUUUUCUUCAAGCACAAUUUCUUUGUGAAAAGCACAAAACAAAAGCUGGGCGAGUUAACAUACGCAAAUUUAGCGCCUGUGUAUACUUCGUUUUUUUACUCGCUGUUUAGUUUCACCCAUUACUUCGUAUUUAAAGAUUGUCUUCGGUGCAAUAACGGGAGAUGUAGUCUGACUCGAUGUCGCGGGUUGAUUUCGCAUUGGCUGCCAUUUUGCCAAUAACAGUGCAUGUGGUUGCGCGAGUGAGUGGUCGCAUCUUUUCCUGAAUAACUUUAGCCUUUAACGCGUGAACGCAACUCGCCCCACUUUUGUGAAGACACCAAAAAUUUGAUCGAUCAAUUAUCGCUGCUCAUUAACGUAGGACCUCCCCGUGGUUUUGGGUCAGAGCACGGGACCUAACCCCGGACAAAGUUCCACUUCCUAGCGUACGAGUUUGCAGGCUUGUUGCGGAGCAGGCAGGAAGCUGUAUGUCGGGCUGAAGGAAGCAGUUGACGUAUUUGUUGUAAACCGAAAUCUCCGUGACAUCCACAAAGAGCAACGUGCUCAUCGUCACUGGCGAUGAUGGCGAGGACCUCCCCACCACGGACUUGGAACGACAAUCCCUCGAUCGGGAGCAACUUGCCGCCGAACAGCCGCUGACCCAGGCUGCAGAAGUUCAGUGGAACGUCAAGUAUCGAACCGGCGUCAGAGUGGCCACAUCUAUCGUCACGACAACGAGGCAAUCAACACCAUUGCUGGAAAUCCCGACAAACGCCUGGUUACGCACACACAUACACAAAAAUAAAGACUCAAAACAGCGCUGGCCAGAAGGCCAGAAGAAUACGACGAUGGCGGCGUUCAGCGCCGAUGACGUGCAAGACAACUCGCGCUUUCGUACCGCGAGUCUAAUAAGUAUUUGCGGGGUAGAUCUUCGGUAGCCUCAGGAGAGGUUAGGGCGGGUCAUUGAAAUAGAGCUUCGGUAACACAGGCUUACGGAGUUACCCUGUUGGUAAUGGCUAGCCUGUUCUCUUUACUGAAGUCAAGUGGUGCCUUCACUCAAUUGGAAAUUCGUGGAUUCGUUAGAGCCAUGUGGCUGUUGUGAUUAGGUUCGAAUCUAAUUGCAAACGAGUGCUUGCUGAACUUACUCUCAGUACAAAUGUGUCCUCCAAGACGAGAAAUAGAUGAAAUUCUAGGAAUUUUCUUUUAUGUAGAAAUGUGUUUCGCCAUUACAGGGUUAACUACUCCCUAAUGGUAUUCGCGUUAGUGUUGUGUGCUUUGAACAACAAGCUCUGCAAAGUAAGUAUUUGGAGACUUCCGCAACCAGAGGUCUCGUUAACGGACAACGAAGUCUGGUCGGACACGUUACUUAUAAUACCAUUCACAGGGAAUCUUGUGGACUCGCUAGAGGUUGAGUACGCUGAAAAAAAAAAAAUUACGCGAUGGCUUAUGACGCGCGCGCCUGAACUGGUGCCUAUCGAUUGUGUAGCCGGUAGUUAACCGUGCCACUGGCAUUAUGCGCGAGCUAAGCAAUCGUUCAGAAUUAGAGAUGCUUCGAUUGACAGUUUCAGUUCAGCGUUUGCAACCGAACAAUAGCGUUACGUACGUAAAGAAAUAUCGUCGACCCUUCACACGUUCUGAACGUUAGUCUGGUUCUGCGGUUUGCGUGCGCUAUGAUAACGUACGGUAUUUGGCGAGUUUCAGGUUCGGACGUCUGCGUACGCUUAGUAGCGUCGAACAUGCUCCAGCUUAAGCGUAUGUUCUGAUAACCGCUCUCUGAGACUCUUUUGUCGCCAGUACCUAUGAAACUGAGUUUGCGCUUACUCUGAACUCUCCUGAAACGUUAGCGCAUAGCUCCUGCAAUUUCAGAGAUCAGCCUGCGAUUCCGGCGCCCGUAGGCCUAACCAGACUCUUCUCCAUAGCAACGGCGAGGUAUUUGCUAGUGGGUAGUCUUGGCGUGGAUACGUUCGGCACGAGGCACCAGACGGCGGUCUGUUUUGUGGACUCCUUGCGUUUCUGUUCUAGUGCGGUAAACUGACAGUCUUCAAAGGAUGCACAGCGUGACGUCCCACAAAUCCGAUUACGUUUAACGUACGGAUGUCUGCAAACUCUUCUAAAGCCGUGUGAUCGUUUGGUGCUCUACUGUAGUUCUACAGCGUGCAUUUCUCGGGUGCCCUGUCCUUCGGCUAAGCACAAGCGUGCAGCUGUUCAUUCCGAAGGCUUCCUUAAAGAUGUAUGUUCUGCGUCUAAAAUGAAGACAGUCUUUCUCGAGCAGCUACCGCCUUUCCGCUCUUGCAGAGCUGAGAUUGAAGUGUUCUUGUGUGCGCGCGCGCGCACGCUGUUUCACACAACCAGAAAAAUGGUUUGCCUCUUGUAAGAACGUUUACUGGCUUCGAAAUAAACUUGCCUUGAAUUAACGCCGUGCGUGUCCAGUCUGACUAUUUUCCUCACGAAUGUCUCGCAUACG
Long non-coding RNA from Dermacentor andersoni, 2494 nucleotides. RefSeq lists it as uncharacterized. Lineage: Eukaryota; Metazoa; Arthropoda; Arachnida; Ixodida; Ixodidae. The record is from RefSeq and is a predicted model, not a curated record.